RNAcentral lists this ribosomal RNA (253 nucleotides) under uncultured bacterium. RNAcentral describes it as "partial 16S ribosomal RNA". It matches the Rfam family "Bacterial small subunit ribosomal RNA", at positions 524 to 776 of the family's 1533-position model. The record is from RNAcentral.
UACAGAGGUCUCAAGCGUUGUUCGGAUUCAUUGGGCGUAAAGGGUGCGUAGGUGGUGACGCAAGUCUGGUGUGAAAUCUCGGAGCUUAACUCCGAAAUUGCACCGGAUACUGCGUAACUCGAGGACUGUAGAGGAGAUCGGAAUUCACGGUGUAGCAGUGAAAUGCGUAGAUAUCGUGAGGAAGACCAGUGGCGAAGGCGGGUCUCUGGACAGUUCCUGACGCUGAGGCACGAAGGCCAGGGGAGCAAACGGG